GGUUGAUGGUAUCUAAUGAAAAAUGAUAAUAACCUAACUUAACCGAAUCUAAACCUACCUAGUUUUACCUAACCUAAAUAGAUAGAGAAAACACUGCAAUUAAUGAGAAUUUCACAAAAAUUUAUUUAACUGACUACAAUCGGUAUUGUUUCACUAUAUUCAGGUGAAGAUUAUUAAAAUUGUAACACUUAAUUUUAUUAAAAAAAAAACUAGUUGAUUGAGGCUGUACAUUAUCGACGAUUUAUCAAGGUUCUAAAAUUGAAAUUUAUGAGAAAGAAGUAAGCUCUUUCAUUCAAUUAAUUUAACAUAAUAAUGACUAAUAGUUUGGUGGAGAGGAUGUAGAUAAUUUAUUUGUGUUUUGGGCUCCCCUUAGAAGAUAAGAAAGGGGGAGUGGAUCGCUGCUCAACCGUUAUAGCCAAAGAUUCUGAAGAUGGACGACUGUUGCAUGACGUCGACCAUUCCGAUGAAUGGAGUGACACUGCUUCUUUUAAAUAUAAAAGUCUUCGAAAAGGCAAAUCAGGUUCGUUUCGAGUAUGCUAAAAAAUUCAUAGGUGACAUUGAAACUCUUAGUUUUAUUACCUAUUAAUUAGGUACCUCGGUAUCUAGACGAUCAUAAUAUGUAGCUCCUAAUUAAGCUGUAGCUAUCAGUAGACCCUGACUAUAUCUACCUGUAUCUACGAAAUAGUGUUU
Agrilus planipennis (emerald ash borer) is the source of this 690-nucleotide long non-coding RNA. RefSeq lists it as uncharacterized. Lineage: Eukaryota; Metazoa; Arthropoda; Insecta; Coleoptera; Buprestidae. The transcript has 2 exons. The record is from RefSeq and is a predicted model, not a curated record.